ACGAACGCUGGCGGCAUGCCUAACACAUGCAAGUCGAACGAGACCUUCGGGUCUAGUGGCGCACGGGUGCGUAACGCGUGGGAACCUGCCCUUAGGUUCGGAAUAACUCCCCGAAAGGGGUGCUAAUACCGGAUAAUGUCUUCGGACCAAAGAUUUAUCGCCUUUGGAUGGGCCCGCGUUGGAUUAGCUAGUUGGUAGGGUAAAAGCCUACCAAGGCGACGAUCCAUAGCUGGUCUGAGAGGAUGAUCAGCCACACUGGGACUGAGACACGGCCCAGACUCCUACGGGAGGCGGCAGUGGGGAAUAUUGGACAAUGGGCGAAAGCCUGAUCCAGCAAUGCCGCGUGAGUGAUGAAGGCCUUAGGGUUGUAAAGCUCUUUUACCCGGGAUGAUAAUGACAGUACCGGGAGAAUAAGCUCCGGCUAACUCCGUG
This 432-nucleotide ribosomal RNA is filed under the name uncultured bacterium. RNAcentral's name for it is "partial 16S ribosomal RNA". It matches the Rfam family "Bacterial small subunit ribosomal RNA", at positions 29 to 507 of the family's 1533-position model. The record is from RNAcentral.